RNAcentral lists this ribosomal RNA (497 nucleotides) under uncultured bacterium. RNAcentral describes it as "partial 16S ribosomal RNA". It matches the Rfam family "Bacterial small subunit ribosomal RNA", at positions 28 to 507 of the family's 1533-position model. The record is from RNAcentral.
GAUGAACGCUGGCGGCGUGCCUAAUACAUGCAAGUCGAGCGAACGGACGAGAAGCUUGCUUCUCUGAUGUUAGCGGCGGACGGGUGAGUAACACGUGGAUAACCUACCUAUAAGACUGGGAUAACUUCGGGAAACCGGAGCUAAUACCGGAUGAUAUUUUGAACCGCAUGGUUCAAAAGUGAAAGACGGUCUUGCUGUCACUUAUAGAUGGAUCCGCGCUGCAUUAGCUAGUUGGUAAGGUAACGGCUUACCAAGGCAACGAUGCAUAGCCGACCUGAGAGGGUGAUCGGCCACACUGGAACUGAGACACGGUCCAGGCUCCUACGGGAGGCAGCAGUAGGGAAUCUUCCGCAAUGGGCGAAAGCCUGACGGAGCAACGCCGCGUGUGUGAUGAAGGUCUUCGGAUCGUAAAACUCUGUUAUUAGGGAAGAACAUUUGUGUAAGUAACUGUGCACAUCUUGACGGUACCUAAUCAGAAAGCCACGGCUAACUACGUG